GCGGUAGAGAGGUGCUUGCACCUCUUGAGAGCGGCGGACGGGUGAGUAAUGCCUAGGAAUCUGCCUGGUAGUGGGGGAUAACGCUCGGAAACGGACGCUAAUACCGCAUACGUCCUACGGGAGAAAGCAGGGGACCUUCGGGCCUUGCGCUAUCAGAUGAGCCUAGGUCGGAUUAGCUAGUUGGUGGGGUAAUGGCUCACCAAGGCGACGAUCCGUAACUGGUCUGAGAGGAUGAUCAGUCACACUGGAACUGAGACACGGUCCAGACUCCUACGGGAGGCAGCAGUGGGGAAUAUUGGACAAUGGGCGAAAGCCUGAUCCAGCCAUGCCGCGUGUGUGAAGAAGGUCUUCGGAUUGUAAAGCACUUUAAGUUGGGAGGAAGGGCAGUUACUUAAUACGUGACUGUCUUGACGUUACCGACAGAAUAAGCACCGGCUAACUCUGUGCCAGCAGCCGCGGUAAUACAGAGGGUGCAAGCGUUAAUCGGAAUUACUGGGCGUAAAGCGCGCGUAGGUGGUUCGUUAAGUUGGAUGUG
Molecule: ribosomal RNA, 535 nt
Filed under: Pseudomonas sp.
Lineage: Bacteria; Pseudomonadati; Pseudomonadota; Gammaproteobacteria; Pseudomonadales; Pseudomonadaceae
Description: bacterial SSU rRNA
Rfam family: Bacterial small subunit ribosomal RNA
Source: RNAcentral